GAAAUGCGAUAAGUAAUGUGAAUUGCAGAAUUCAGUGAAUCAUCGAAUCUUUGAACGCAUCUUGCGCUCCUUGGUAUUCCUUGGAGCAUGCCUGUUUGAGUAUCAUGAAAUCUUCAAAGUAAAUCUUUUGUUAACUCAAUUGGUUUCUACUUUGGUAUUGGAGGUCUUUGCAGCUUCACACCUGCUCCUCUUUGUUCAUUAGCUGGAUCUCAGUGUUAUGCUUGGUUCCACUCGGCGUGAUAAGUUAUCUAUCGCUGAGGACACUGUAAAAGGUGGCAAAGGUAAAUGCAGAUGAACCGCUUCUGAUAGUCCAUUGACUUGGACAAUACUUUUAUGAUCUGAUCUCAAAUCAGGUAGGACUACCCGCUGAACUUAAGC
This 378-nucleotide unclassified non-coding RNA is filed under the name plant metagenome. Its description in RNAcentral is "partial contains 5.8S ribosomal RNA, internal transcribed spacer 2, and large subunit ribosomal RNA". The stretch from base 1 to 105 matches the Rfam family "5.8S ribosomal RNA", at positions 50 to 154 of the family's 154-position model. The record is from RNAcentral.